AUUUAGAGGACCUUGUGCAUUUCAGGAUGUCAGGUAGAGCAGUCAGGCCAGACGAGGGUCUGAUGAUGAUGCAGGAGCUUGAAGACCGUCUGAAGGAGCAGAUUGAUAAACUAGAGCACGUCCGCCUCUCUGCUACUGAGCUCAAAGACAACCUUUCUGGGAUCAAUGGUGAUCUGAACCAAUCUAUUGCUGACCAUCUGGACUGGCUGGGUCAGCUGUCAGAGCGAGUGGAGACCCUUCAGAUGAACACAUCCGUCUUUGUUCAGAUGAACCCGAAGCCUCGUACCUGGGGAGUGAAGCAGGGCUCCAGGCGCGCUCCACGCUGGGGCCGACUCCACAGUCUGGCUGAUGAUGCCCAGUCUGAGUAUGGCUGGUCCCCUAUCCGCACGCGACGCAACAGCGACGCUGCCUCCGAGAUGUCCUGUGCCUGGUGACCUGGUAGCUCAGAUGGAUCAGUUGGUUGGACUUGGAUCAGGGUGCUGGCAAUACCAGGGUUGUGUGUUUGAAUUGCGUGGGACACGUACUACACUGACUGUGUUAACUGCAAGUUGCUUUGGAUAAAUUAGUCUGCUAAAUGACCAUACUAAAAGACAUGAUUACAACAAACUAACUAAGCUGCAGACAAACAUACAUUUUAUAUUAUUUCAAUGCCACAAUAUUAGUCGCUAUCCACUCACAUUGCUGUAAUUGUAUCGAAUAGUUGAACAUUUCACUGCAGUGUAUUAUUUGAGAAAUUGACUUGUAUUAUGCAAUAUAGUUAUUGUUUGUAUUUUGUGUUCUUCUGUGGUGCUUUUCUGUCUCUUGUAAAAUGUUUGUUGAUAUUACUCAAUGUUGCUAUUAUUCAAAGUUAUUUGAUUUUGUUUUGGUCUUCUCAUUGUUGUGAUCUUGUGCAGCUGCCAGCUAUAACCAAUGAUGAAGCCACAACGCCUCCAUCUUGGCACUCUCCCUAGCAUUGUACAUUUCUUUUUAGUGGAAGCUAUAGAAAUGCAUUUAUUAAUGUCUACAUUCAUUUUUGCCACAUUUAUUCUAUUACAGACACAUGAAUGCAUACUUUAAAAUUAGAUUAUGUGAGCUAAUCAUUUAAAACAAAUAUUUUAACAUUUUCCCAAUAGCUAAUAGUAUAAUUUUUUUUAGCUUACUAAUGAUACUGUCCCUACUACAACAACAAAAAUACUUAUACCGAACCAAAAUAUAAACGCAACAUGCAACAAUUUCAAAACAUGUAGAUCAUAUAAGGAAAUCAGUCAAUAUAAAUAAAUAAAUAAUUUGGGCCCUAAUCUAUGUAUUUCACGACUGGGAAUACAAAUAUGCAUCUGUUGGUCGCAGAUACCUUUAAAAAAAAACUAAAGGAAAGGAUCAGAUAAUCAGUAGACCAGAUAAUCAGUUUGUAUCUGGUGUGACCACCAUUUGUCUCAUGCAACGUGACACAUCUCUUUUGCAUAGAGUUGAUCAGGCUGUUGAUUAUGGCCUGUGUAAUGUUGUCCCACUCUUCAAUGGCUGUGCGAAGUUGCUGGAUAUUGGCAGGAACUAGAACACGCUGUCGUAUACAUCGAUCCAUAGCAUUCCAAACAUGGGCAAUGGGUGACAUGUCUGGGUAGUAUGCAGGCCAUGGAAGAACUAGGACAUUUCCAGCCUCCAGUGAUGUAAAGUACCA
This is a long non-coding RNA of Oncorhynchus tshawytscha (Chinook salmon), 1654 nucleotides long. Lineage: Eukaryota; Metazoa; Chordata; Actinopteri; Salmoniformes; Salmonidae. The record is from Ensembl.